Molecule: long non-coding RNA, 4232 nt
Organism: Oncorhynchus nerka (sockeye salmon)
Lineage: Eukaryota; Metazoa; Chordata; Actinopteri; Salmoniformes; Salmonidae
Exons: 3
Source: RefSeq, a predicted model, not a curated record
CGCGGCUGGGGAUGCCGUCUGGGCCUGCAGCCUUGCGAGGGUUAACAUGUCUUACUCACCUCGGCUGCAGUGAAGGAGAGACCGCAUGUUUUCGUUGCAGGCCGUGUCAGUGGCACUGUAUUGCCCUCAAAGCGGGCUAAAAAGUUAUUUAGUCUGCCUGGGAGCAAGACAUCCUGGUCCGUGACUGGGCUGGGUUUCUUCUUGUAGUCCGUGAUUGACUGUAGACCCUGCCACAUGCCUCUUGUGUCUGAGCCAUUGAAUUGAGAUUCCACUUUGUCUCUGUACUGACGCUUAGCUUGUUUAAUAGCCUUGCGGAGGGAAUAGCUGCAUUGUUUAUAUUCGGACAUGUUACCAGACACCUUGCCCUGAUUAAAAGCAGUGGUUCGCGCUUUCAGUUUCACGCGAAUGCUGCCAUCAAUCCACGGUUUCUGGUUUGGGAAUGUUUUUAUCGUUGCUAUGGGAACGACAUCUUCGACGCACGUUCUAAUGAACUCUCACACCGAAUCAGCGUAUUCGUCAAUAUUUCCAUCUGACGCAAUACGAAACAUGUCCCAGUCCACGUGAUGGAAGCAGUCUUGGAGUGUGGAGUCCGCUUGGUCGGACCAGCGUUGGACAGACCUCAGGGUGGGAGACUCUUGUUUUAGUAUCUGCCUGUAGGCAGGGAUCAGCAAAAUGGAGUCGUGGUCAGCUUUUCCGAAAGGGGGGCGGGGCGGGGCCUUAUAUGCGUCGCGGAAGUUAGAGUAACAAUGAUCCAAGGUUUUACCACCCCUGGUUGCGCAAUCGAUAUGCUGAUAAAAUUUGGGGAGUCUUGUUUUCAGAUUAGCUUUGUUAAAAUCCCCAGCUACAAUGAAUGUGGCCUCCGGAUAAAUGGUUUCCAGUUUGCAAAGAGUUAAAUAAAGUUCGUUCAGAGCCAUCGAUGUGUCUGCUUGGGGGGGGAUAUAUACGGCUGUGAUUAUAAUCGAAGAGAAUUCUCUUGGAAGAUAAUGCGGUCUACAUUUGAUUGUGAGGAAUUCUAAAUCAGGUGAACAGAAGGAUUUGAGUUCCUGUAUGUUUCCUUCAUCACACCAUGUCUCGUUAGUCAUGAGGCAUACGCCCCCGCCACUCUUCUUACCAGAAAGAUGUUUGUUUCUGUCCGCGCGAUGCGUGGAGAAACCCGUUGGCUGCACCGCAUCGGAUAGCGUCUUCCCAGUAAGCCAUGUUUCCGUGAAGCAGAGAACGUUGCAGUCUCUGAUGUCCCUCUGGAAUGCUACCCUUGCUCGGAUUUCGUCAACCUUGUUGUCAAGAGACUGGACUCCUGUUUGUAAGGCAGAACACAGGAUCCGCGUCGCGGAAAACAUAUUCUUGGUCGUACUGAUGGAGCCAUGAACAACGGUUUUUGACAGCUGUAAGUGCAGCUCGGACGCCCUCCAUCAUCCGAAUGUUGACUGAGCUCCAGCAGAGGUCUCCCCCUCCAUGAUCUCCCUGGCCGGAGGGGCUCCCGACACCUUCCCCUUCCAGUCCUGCUCCAUCCAGGUGAAGAAUGGGGACAGAAUGGUGACACGAUCACCUUCGACGAGACCAUGAUGAAGAGGGCUCUACAGUACUCUGCCUCCAGCGGGAAACACUGGGUGUGUAUGAAAUAACACCCAAUUCCCUAUAUGCUGCACUACUUUUGACCAGGAUAUUGUUUAUUAUGAUUUAUAAACUGGGUGGUUCGAGCUUUGAAUGCUGAUUGGCUGAAAGCCGUGGUAUAUUAGACCAUAUACCACGGGUAUGACAAAACAUUUAUUUUUGAUGUUCUGAUUACGUUGGUAACCAGUUUAUAAUAGUAAUAGGUCAUCUCGGGGGUUUAUACCUAAGAACAGCCCUUAGCCGUGGUAUAUUGGCCAUAUACCACACCCCCCUUAAGUAUUUUAGCCCACGAAAGGGCUAGUCUUCUAAAAGAUCCUGGAAGCUUCUUCAGAGCAUGAUAUUGUAACAACCUUAACCCAACACCUAGUGACCUCGUCAAGAGGUUCGGAUCUCUUGGCGUAACGGCUAAGGUGUUGGGUUGACAGUUACUGGUUCGUGUCCUGGUCAGGGCUACCCUCGUAUUGCUACAAUAUAGGAGAGUCAACAAGAACAUAGCCUCCAAAAUGUCCCCUUGACACAAACAGAGUAAUAUACAGUACAUGGCUAGCUCUAACACACAAUUCAUAUGGUCUGGAAUUGGCUAAGUUUACAAUGUAAAAUCAUUGGCCUGUUUAAACUGUUGACCUGUCACAGUGCUGUUCAACAUUGAAAAGGUUAGGGCAACAUGACACCUAUACUAGUCAAUGGCAGUGUUAGAAGGGAGGUUAUCUCUCUAAUGGCUCCUUAUCUAGCUUUAUUACUAUCUGUAUAAAUAGUGUCUCGUAUUGGUCUAUAGCUCUCUCAACCUGUGUGUGUGUGUGUGUGCGUGUGCGUGUGCGCGUGCACGUGCGUGUGCACGUGCGUGUGUGUGUGGUCUGCAUUGGUUCAAUCACAGCUGAUAAGAGAUGCCGGGACAAUAAAGCCAAGGCUGAGUCUCAAAUGGCAUCCUAUUAUGCAGCCCAGGAUCCAAUACACACAUCAAAUACUGAAUAUGUUAUUAAUCCAUACCUUGGCUGCUAUAGAAAUGUAAAAAAAGAUAAGAGAAUUGGGUGAGAUUUUGUAACUGUAGGUUAUUCUGAAUGGAAUGAAUCCUAACCUCCAAUUUCACGUCUUUCACUUCGCCUCUCAUUGACUUAAAUAAAAAUUCAACUAAACUUAGAAUUCACCCUUAUGAAUGGAAAGGUUAAAGUAACUGUCCCAGUGAAAAUCUGACUUUUGAAAGUUUAUAUUCUGUUAACUCAUACCCAAGCAAUGUUGUUGACUCUCGUCUUAUACUCGUAUUUGUGGCCAAAGCAUAAAUUGGAGAAAAAACACUUCAGACUGUUCAAAAAAUGCUUUCUAUUUCCUCAUAUAGGAUGAUGUCAUUCUCCUAAUAUUUUUCAUGACAGAUGCCCACACCAUUCUGAUGUUGGGGUACGUCCACACCAUUCCAACACAGAAAAGCUGCUUUCUAACAAACUUAAUUACAAUGUUUUUUGAAGGAAAACAAUUUCACUCAAUUUCACUCAUAUUGCAAUUCAUUAUUGGCGCCGGAUCUGGAGGUCGUGGGCUGGUGUGGUUACACGUGAUCUGGGGUUGUGAGGCCGGUUGGACAUACUGCCAAAUUCUCUAAAAUGACAUGGUAGCGGCGUAUGGUAGAGAAAUGAACAUUCAGUUUUCUGACAACGGCUCUGGUGCACAUUCCUGCAGUCAGUAUGCCAAUUGCACGCUCCUUCAAGCCUUGAAACAUUUGUGGCAUUGUGUUGUGUGACAAAACAGAACAUUUUAGAGUGACCUUUUAUUGUCCCCAGCACAAGGUGCACCUGUGUAAUGAUCAUGCUGUUUAAUCAACUUCUUGAUAUGCCACACCUGCCAGGUGGAUGGAUUAUCUUGGCAAAUGAGAAAUGCUCACUAACAGGGAUGUAAAUAAAUUUGUGCACAAAAUUUGAACAAAGUAAGCUUUUUGUGUGUAUGGAACAUUUCUUGGAUCUUUUAUUUCAGCUCAGGAAACAUGGGACCAACACUUUACAGACUGCUUUUAUAUUUGUGUUCAGUAUACUUUUGUCUAUGUUGAAGGGAAUGUUUUGAUUCUGGGUACGGGAUCAUUUUUCCCCCUUUUUUUGGUAGGUUUUUGAAAUGCUUGUCAAUCCUGGAGACGUUCUACUCCACGCAUCUACCUACUCUGGAACUCUCGCUGCAGUAAGAAGCACUUCUCUUUCUCUCACAAACACUCUCUCACUCUCUUUCUCUCUUUCUGUCCCCCUCCCACUCUCUCUCCCUCUCUUUCACCAUUCUUCCCUCCCUCCGGUGACCAGCACGGUAUGAUCCUGGGGGGUCUGAAGGAGGUGCUGUCCCGCUGGGACCUGGCAGAUGUCCACAAGCCACACAGCACCGUACCCAGGGUCCUCUACACCAUCCCCAAUGGAGGAAACCCCACCGGGGCCUCCUUGACCACAUUUACAUUUAAGUCAUUUAGCAGACGCUCUUAUCCAGAGCGACUUACAAAUUGGUGCAUUCACCUUAUGACAUCCAGUGGAACAGUAGUGCAUCUAAAUAUUUUAAGGGGGGGGGGGGGUGAGAGGGAUUACUUUAUCCUAUCCUAGGUAUUCCUUAAAGAGGUGGGGUUUCAGGUGUCUCCGGAAGGUGGUGAUUGACUCCGCUGU